Oncorhynchus keta (chum salmon) is the source of this 2919-nucleotide long non-coding RNA. RefSeq lists it as uncharacterized. The record is from RefSeq and is a predicted model, not a curated record. The transcript has 6 exons. Lineage: Eukaryota; Metazoa; Chordata; Actinopteri; Salmoniformes; Salmonidae.
UUCUGGUCAGGUCAUGUGGUCACUCCCGACCAUACACAUUAGGGCUUGGAGUUUCUGGUCAGGUGGUCACUCCCGACCAUACACAUUAGGGCUUGGAGUUUCUGGUCAGGUGGUCACUCCCGACCAUACACAUUAGGGCUUGGAGUUUCUGGUCAGGUCAUGUGGUCACUCCCGACCAUACACAUUAGGGCUUGGAGUUUCUGGUCAGGUGGUCACUCCCGACCAUACACAUUAGGGCUUGGAGUUCCUGGUCAUGUGGUCACUCCCGACCAUACACAUUAGGGCUUGGAGUUUCUGGUCAGGUGGUCACUCCCGACCAUACACAUUAGGGCUUGGAGUUUCUGGUCAUGUGGUCACUCCCGACCAUACACAUUAGGGCUUGGAGUUUCUGGUCAUGUGGUCACUCCCGACCAUACACAUUAGGGCUUGGAGUUCCUGGUCAUGUGGUCACUCCCGACCAUACACAUUAGGGCUUGGAGUCCCUGGUCAUGUGGUCACUCCCGACCAUACACAUUAGGGCUUGGAGUUCCUGGUCAGGUGGUCACUCCCGACCAUACAGAUUAUUAGUGAUUCUAUAUGUAUUGCUAAUUUUUUAUGUGAUUCGAUGUCCCAAACAUAUUGCUCACUUAUACGUCUGCUGCAACGAGACAAGAGCAUGAGAAGGUUUUAUUGUUGAUAUAUAAAUAUGAAAUAUAUGUAAUGAAUAUAUAUGAAAUAAAGUGGUGGAAACAUGUUACUUAAAAAAUAAGACUGAGAACGAAUUUUGGCAAAGGAACAGAAGACGAGCAACACCACCGAGCAACAAAUAUUUACAAAAAUAAAUAAAUAUUUACACACACACACACACACACAGUCAAAAGUUAACUGAUCAAAACUAAUUUUCUCAUGCUCUCUUGUCAAGUUGCAGUCGACAUAAAUUUACACACAGUAAACAGUGUAAUGUUUGGACACACCUACUCUACAUUGUAGAAUAAUAGUGAAGAAAUCACAUAUGGAAUCAUGUAGUAACCGAUUUUAUUUGAAAAACAAAUCAAAAUAUAUUUGAUAUAAUUGAGAUUCUUCAAAGUAGCCACCCUUUGCCUUGAUGACAGCUUUGCACACUCUUGGCAUUCAUGAUUCCAUCUGUGUUAUUUCACAGUUUUGAUGCAUUCACUACUAUUCUACAAUGUAGCAAAUAGUGAAAACCAAGAAAAACCCUUGAAUGAGUCGUCCAAACGUUUGACUGUGUACUGUGCCUUCGGAAAGUAUUCAGACCCCUUCGCUUUUUCCCCACAUUGUUAAGUUACAGCCCCGUUCUAAAAUGAAUUAAAUAAAUACGGCAGGGUAGCCUAGUGGUUAGAGUGUAGAGGCGGCAGGGUAGCCUAGUGGUUAGAGUGUAGAGGCGGCAGGGUAGCCUAGUGGUUAGAGUGUAGAGGUGGCAGGGUAGCCUAGUGGUUAGAGUGUAGAGGUGGCAGGGUAGCCUAGUGGUUAGAGUGUAGAGGUGGCAGGUAGCCUAGUGGUUAGAGUGUAGAGGAGGCAGGUAGCCUAGUGGUUAGAGUGUAGAGGAGGCAGGUAGCCUAGUGGUUAGAGUGUAGAGGUGGCAGGGUAGCCUAGUGGUUAGAGUGUAGAGGUGGCAGGUAGCCUAGUGGUUAGAGUGUAGAGGUGGCAGGUAGCCUAGUGGUUAGAGUGUAGUGGCGGCAGGUAGCCUAGUGGUUAGAGUGUAGAGGUGGCAGGGUAGCCUAGUGGUUAGAGUGUAGAGGCGGCAGGUAGCCUAGUGGUUAGAGUGUAGAGGCGGCAGGUAGCCUAGUGGUUAGAGUGUAGAGGCGGCAGGUAGCCUAGUGGUUAGAGUGUAGUGGCGGCAGGUAGCCUAGUGGUUAGAGUGUAGAGGUGGCAGGGUAGCCUAGUGGUUAGAGUGUAGAGGCGGCAGGUAGCCUAGUGGUUAGAGUGUAGAGGCGGCAGGUAGCCUAGUGGUUAGAGUGUAGAGGCCGCAGGUAGCCCAGUGGUUAGAGCGUAGAGGCGGCAGGGUAGCCUAGUGGUUAGAGUGUAGAGGCGGCAGGGUAGCCUAGUGGUUAGAGUGUAGAGGCGGCAGGGUAGCCUAGUGGUUAGAGUGUAGAGGCGGCAGGUAGCCUAGUGGUUAGAGUGUAGAGGCUGCAGGUAGCCUAGUGGAUAGAGUGUAGAGGUGGCAGGGUAGCCUAGUGGGUAGCCUAGUGGUUAGAGUGUAGAGGUGGCAGGUAGCCUAGUGGUUAGAGUGUAGAGGUGGCAGGUAGCCUAGUGGUUAGAGUGUAGAGGCGGCAGGUAGCCUAGUGGUUAGAGUGUAGAGGUGGCAGGUAGCCUAGUGGUUAGAGUGUAGAGGUGGCAGGGUAGCCUAGUGGUUAGAGUGUAGAGGCGGCAGGUAGCCUAGUGGUUAGAGUGUAGAGGCGGCAGGUAGCCUAGUGGUUAGAGUGUAGAGGCGGCAGGUAGCCAAGUGGUUAGAGUGUAGUGGCGGCAGGUAGCCUAGUGGUUAGAGUGUAGAGGCUGCAGGGUAGCCUAGUGGUUAGAGUGUAGAGGCGGCAGGUAGCCUAGUGGUUAGAGUGUAGAGGUGGCAGGUAGCCUAGUGGUUAGAGUGUAGAGGCGGCAGGUAGCCUAGUGGUUAGAGUGUAGAGGCGGCAGGUAGCCUAGUGGUUAGAGUGUAGUGGCGGCAGGUAGCCUAGUGGUUAGAGUGUAGAGGCGGCAGGUAGCCUAGUGGUUAGAGUGUAGAGGCCGGCAGGGUAGCCUAGUGGUUAGAGUGUAGAGGCCGGCAGGGUAGCCUAGUGGUUAGAGUGUAGAGGCGGCAGGUAGCCUAAUGGUUAGAGUGUAGUGGCGGCAGGUAGCCUAGUGGUUAGAGUUGAACUAGUAACCGGAACCGAAAAUACUUAAUCCAUUUUGAAAUAAGGCUGUAACGUAACAAAAUGUCAAGGGGUC